Heterocephalus glaber (naked mole-rat) is the source of this 5648-nucleotide non-coding RNA. The record is from RefSeq and is a predicted model, not a curated record. Lineage: Eukaryota; Metazoa; Chordata; Mammalia; Rodentia; Bathyergidae.
CUGCCCCCUCCCUGCCCCCUCCCUACCCCCGUCCGCUCCAGAGGCUCGCAGGCUCGGGCGUUUCUCCUGCUCCUUUCUCUGAGAAAGCGGCGUGUUGGAAGGGCGCAAGGAGCGGGACCCCAGAAGAAGAGUGACCUCGGGAAGUAUCAAGCAUUUGCCCAUGAGCAGUGUCUGUGGUCUACUGUGACCUUCGGUAGACCUCUUCAUCCACCCGCCCAGCCCAGCCCGGGUGGCUUGACCUUGAAGCCCCAACUGCCCUCGGUUCUCGGAGAAGGACAGACAGAUCGGACAGUCCGCGGGGGUGGAGGAGGGGUGGAGAGGGAAGACACCAGUCCUAAGGUCUGACAACCUUUAAUUUUAUGCAGGUCCUGUCUUCUCACCACACAGCCACAAUUGUAUUCCAUUAAGAUAGGGAACGUUCACCCAGAGAUGAUCCUGUCCUUGCUAAACUAAAGCUUUCCCGCAGCCCAAAUCACGCUGUCCUUUCAAUCACCAGGGUCUCCCCACCGUCAGCCCGCUGGCUCAGGAUGUAUUCUUCAUAUCCAGGACAGCACAUCAUUUUACCUCCUCCCUACCUCUCUCUUUUAACUUCCACGUCCUCCCCUGUCUCUCACCGCUGGGUUUAGACCCUCUUUUCCUCCAUCCCCUCCCUUCUUUCUCUCUUUCUUUGCCUGCUACCACUGUCAUCCCCUGUAAGCCUGUCUCCUGCAGCCACUACUUUCUGUUACCUAUUCUCAUGAUGCACUUAAGAAUAAAGCCUGUCCUGUGUCGCUCCAGGAGAUCCCCGAUGAUGAUCAUAAUUGACGAAACUUAGCUAUUGUGACAUUCCUCAGCUGUGCUGACACCACUGUUUCCCUUGAGAAAAUUUCUUUUCCUAUUUUCACAUUCCCUGAACCUAAUUUCACUGCUAAAUUUAGACAGCCCACUGCACAAGGACUAGCUAAUUAUCUGUUUAGAUAGCACUUUAACACGUUGUUGAGACUCAGUUAAAUGUUAACAACCAAAAUUUUAAUAUCACUAGCCAAUUUUAUCACCCCAGCCUUUCCCUGAGGGUUCCAGUCUCCAGAAGUAAUUUAGCCAACAUUUUAAAAGGUACCAAAGGCUUACUAUGGGGGCUAUUGUGAAACUGCUAUAGAGCCCAUCAGAAAUAAACAGGUUUAGCAUUUCUUGAAAGAAUGAUCUGGAACUUUUAAAAAAUGUAUUUCCUCUCUCUUUGGAAAAAAUUGAAUAAUAGCUUGCUAUGAUUACAUUCCUCACCUAAAUGAAAGCAUGAAAGAGCAGUAUUUAUAGAUGUUAUAUAAGUAUUUAAAGAGCACCAUCCUGGUGUUUUAUGUGCAUAUAUUCAUUAUGUUCGAAUAAUAAUUUGUGUUGGUAUAGUUUCUUCAACUAGAGAUGUCAAAGCAUGUGCUUACUUCCCACAAAAGACAGCACUACUAUUAUCUCUGCUUGACAGCAAGAGGAACCUAGGCACAGAGGUUAAAUUCACCGCAAAUACUGCCAGCCAUAUGCAGUGGUUUUCCUGCUGGAACCAAGUUCUUGCCUUCCAGGAGGUACCACUGACUGAUCCCUCAAGAUUCUUUAUUUUGAGUUAGCAACAAAUUUACUAAGGAAACUCAAAUUUUUACUUUCUAAAUGUGCCCAGUCUCAAAUUACAUUCUCCUGGAUGAAUGAAAUUUAGAUAAAUGUACAUCAAGCUCUUAUGUUGAAAAUUAUUGCUGAGUUAAAAAAUUAUUUUACACAAUAAAAUUCACUUUUUCAAGGGUUGGAACAGCUGGGGUUUUUUUAAACCUUUAACGUGAAAGUAUUGCUAGGCUUUAUAUCAUUACUAUUUUUUUUUACAGAUAAGUUCACAUUAUUUGAGUAGCAAAAAGAUAGAAGGAAACAUUAUAGCUAACAGUAUUUUGACACCAUUGAAUACUAAAUUAUGCAUUUUAAAAAAAAUCUGAACAAAAAUCAACAUGAUCCUAAUGAUAACAAUGGUUUCAUUGUUUUGAGUUGCGAGUGAGUACUGGAGAUGUCCAUCCAACUUUCUGCCUCAAAGACUAUUUGCCAAUUAUCAAGAUUCAUUAACUCUGAACUAAAAAACAAAGGUUGUCACUUUCAACAAAAAAGUACUUGCAUACAGUGCUGGGCAUUUUACACUUACUCCAAUAAUCCAAAUUAAAAAUUUGAGACUAUUAUUAGAAUUUCAUCACAUACUGAAAUAUAGGUGGUAUUUAGUAGUACAGGUAGAACAUUAUGCACUUUAGCUAACUCCCCUUACCAUCAGUACAUUUUUUAUAAUUUGCUGUGUAAAGAAACAUAACUCUUCCCUCAUUAGAAGACAUGAAGAUACUUUGUAGAAUGUUCAAGUCGGUACCAUAUUUGAUAAUAAACUGGUGUUACCCACCUAGAAUCACAAAAUUAUACAAAUAGUUAAAGUACAGACCCACAAAAAAACUACCACUUGCAAAAUAUUUGCCAAGGUUACAUUUAACAAAGCAAUUCUUCCCUACUGAAAAGAUUCUCCUCAUACAGUCACACCACUUUCUCCCUCAUAUUUCCUUUAUUUCUUUGCUGAAAUCACUUUAUUACUGAGACCUUUAGGACUAUCCAAAGGAAAGGUCUUUCCUCAUCCCAAAUCCAAUUCCUGAACUUGAUUUAUUUGCUUCAUUGCACUAACCAUCUGACAUAUUAUGUAUUUAUUGUCUUUUCCCCUUCUUAGAAUGAAAGUUCUACAAGGGCAAGCAAAUAUCUGUUUUUCCACUGCUUAAAUCCAAUCUAAAUACUUUGAGUAAUGCCAUAUUGGUCCCAGGCGUGAUGAUCAAAUGCUAACUGUGGUGACAGUAUACUCAAGUGCAUGUCUAAUGGAAAAAAAAACUCAAAGAAGUGUAUUUAUUUUUUAAAAUCUUAAGCAUGUGAUUGAUCACAUUGAAUUUUUUAAGCUGAAAGGUGGUUACCCUGGCCAUUGCUUAAGACUUUGAUUUAAUUUCCAUUAGCAUUGCUUUUGAAACUAUAACUUCUAUAUUGCACAUUCAUACUUCUACAUCCCAGCUUUGUAAUAAUAGGGCUAGGAUUCUGCAAAUUACAUGCAUCCUUUACCAUUUGGUUUCCUAAUUGGUUCUAUCAAUAAAAGGCACUAUAGGGUGGAAAGUAGGAGUAUGGGAGAAGGGACUUGUUCCUUUCUAUUUGCUUCUUCUUGCAAAGAAGCAUUACCUCAACAGUAAUAGCCCAUUAUCCUGUCUUUAGCAGUUGUUUCCAGCUGGCCAGCCUCCCACCUAUUUUACCUUCUAAAAUCCAGACUUAUCCCAACCUCUCAAAUUUAUCGGCUCCAACCAAACUGUUCCCAUUUCUCACAGGUGCAAUUUCAAGCUGGAUAGGAUCCCUCCCCUGAACUCAGUUCUAAUAACCAAACUUUUCCCCCAUUGUUCCUCUACCUGUGAAGUAAGAACAACUUCCUACCUAGCAGACAAAUUCACAUCUAUGAGUUACCUCAGUGUUCCUCUUUUUCAUCUGGAGAUUCCUUCCCACCAACUCUGUAACAUUCCCCUAAUACUAAGUUCCUCAGUUAUAUAGUUUGGUUUCUAUAUUUCUCAUUAAACCUCAAUUAAUGCUCAUUUUUAAUGCCCAUUUCCCCAAACCUUCACUGCAUGUAAUACUUCUGCCAAAAUUACUAUCCAUAGACUCAGAAUGCUUUAUCCACCGUCAUGAAUUCCAUACAGCAUUGUCUCUGACCAAGGAACGUAUUGUAUGGCCAAAGAAGUGAUGCAAUGGGCUCAUGCUCAUGAAUUCACUGGUCUUACCAGACUCCUCACUAUCCAAAAGUGGUUGGACUGAUAGGUGAAAUGGUCUUUUGAAGACACAGUUACAGUGCCAGCUAGCUGGCAAUAGCUUGUAGGGAUAGGAAAAAGUUCUCCAAAAGGCUGUAUAUGCUUUGAAUCAUUGUCCACUAUAUGGUACUGUGUCUCCCAUAGGCAGGAUUUAUGAGUCCAGGAAUCAAGAGGUAGAAGUGGGAAUGGUACCACUCAUCACUACUCCUAGUGAUCCCAAAAUUUUUACUUCCUGUUCCCAUGAUUUUAUGCUCUGCUGGUUUAGAAGUCUUGGUUCCAGAGUGGGGAAGGCUCAUAUCAGGAAGCACAACAAUAAUAUUGAACUGGAACAUAAGACUUCCCCCUUAUCAUUUUGGUCUUCUCAUGCCUCUGAGUAAACAAGCUAAAAAGGGAGUUACAGUGUUGGUAAGUAUGGUUGACCCAGACUAUCAAGGGGGAUAUAGGACUAUUACUCCACAAUGGAAGAAAGGAAGAACCUACUUGGAGUCCAGGAGAUUCUUAAGGGUGCCUCCUGGUAUUACCAUGCCCUGCUAUUGAAGUCCAUGUGACACUACACAAAUCCAAUCCAGGCAGAAUGACGGAUGGUCCAGAACUUUCAGGAAUAAAGGUGUGGGUCAACCCAUCAAGGAAAGAACCAAGACCUGCUGAGGUGAAUACAGAAUAGGUAAUAGAAGAAGGUAGUUCUAAAUACCAGCUAUGAGCCCAUGAUCAGCUACAGAAACAAGGAUUGUAAUUAGAAUAGUACUCUCCUAAUAUGGUUCCUAUGUAAUAUAAUGUUGAUAAACAAUAUUAGUUCUUAAAUAUUGUUAAAACUGUGUUAUAAUGUUCACAUUAUGAAAUAUUAGGAGUAAAGAUCACCCAAGGAAAACUUGCCUUCAAUGCCAGGGAGGGAAUUAGUGCGUUUCUGUUUGUACAUAGGAUAGUUAUAACAUGUUAUAAUCAUUAUUAACAGGCAUAAUUAUGAACUUGUCUUUGUAUCUGGAGACUAUGGUUUAAAGAAAUGUGCCUGGUUAUCAAGCUGACAAGGAGUGGAUUGUGACAGUUAACUGAUUUUGUCAACUGGAGUAAGAAAUGUCCGACUAAAUUGGGUCAGCAAAGUUCUGGGUGUGGAAGACCUACCCCAGGGAGGAUUGUUGCCAGGAGUGUAUAAAAGAAAAACAAAGAAGGAAGGCUUUCUUCUGUUUCUUUGGAGGAGCUCCAGUCUGAGCCUUCACCUUAGACAACAUCUUCCACUGCAAACUCUUCAGCCUUCCAACACAGACUCUUCAGCCAUGUCACAGACCCUUCAGCCUCCUGAUGCAGACUUUCAGGAGAAACUGAGCUCCAGGCCUUCAACUGGAUCCAUCAGGGCUCCAGUGCACACACAGACUUUUGUGCUAUUCCACAUCUGAUUCUGUGGGCUGCCAGUGUAAGACAGUCUUGUAAAUUUUUAUAUAUUUGUAUAUUUUCCAUUAAAUAUGUUUCUUUAGUAAGCACUGACUGAUACAAAUACAAUUUAUACUCAUAAAUUAUCAGGCAAAAUGUUAGGGCAGGUUUUAAUUUAUUUCCACUGAAUGUUAUUCAGUUGAGUCUUUGAGAUAACUCAAUGAAUGUAAUAAUGUAUUUUUAAUAGAAGGGAGAAGAGAGGGAAAAUAGAGGGUUUUGCUAUUGUAUUUAGAUUGUGCUGAACCAAAGAAGUCUAGUGUCUCCACAGGCUCAUUCGGUGAAGAACCACUUUUCCCUUCAUGGAUGUUUCAACAGAUCAUAUCCUAAUAUGUUACCUAAAAUGUUGUUUUCUCACUUUACCCUUUGGUAUCUAACCCUGAACAGAUGUUUAUCAGCCACCACAUGUUCCCCCAA